Tauraco erythrolophus (red-crested turaco) is the source of this 288-nucleotide non-coding RNA. NCBI's taxonomy places the organism in Eukaryota, Metazoa, Chordata, Aves, Musophagiformes, Musophagidae. The record is from RefSeq and is a predicted model, not a curated record.
AGAUGAAGCAUUUCUACGAGUCCAGCGUUUAGAAGAGUCUCUCAAAGAGCUAGAAAAUAUUAACCCUGAAGAAAAUGACAUGACAUUACAGGAAUUACUGAACAGAAUAAACAAUGCAGACACAGGGACAGAUAUACUGAAGAACGGAGCUAUAAUUCUGAAUCGAAUACACAGGACCAAAGAACGUAAAAAGAAAAUAAUAGCUGAGGAAAUGAAUGCGGUAAUAGAACAACGGGAUGCUGCUUUGUCUCAAUGCAAACGGCUGGAGCAGGAGCUUCAUCAUCUGAA